GCAAGUCGGUUCCUGAAUGGCUCU
This 24-nucleotide non-coding RNA is filed under the name Arabidopsis thaliana (thale cress). Lineage: Eukaryota; Viridiplantae; Streptophyta; Magnoliopsida; Brassicales; Brassicaceae. The record is from RNAcentral.